Engraulis encrasicolus (European anchovy) is the source of this 496-nucleotide long non-coding RNA. RefSeq lists it as uncharacterized. NCBI's taxonomy places the organism in Eukaryota, Metazoa, Chordata, Actinopteri, Clupeiformes, Engraulidae. The transcript is spliced from 3 exons. The record is from RefSeq and is a predicted model, not a curated record.
GGUGUUUGGAACAGAGAGCAUUCCGUUGCCUUUGACCUGGGAUUCGCCCAUUAGAACGGCUGGACAACUUGACCUUGGUGACUUGAAGGACCCGACUCCCCUCGUGGUGCAUGUUGUCAUUAAAAGAUCAGGACUAAAGGUGCUAAAUGGUGCUUGGUUCCGGGAGCAUUUCAUUGGCUUUGAACUGCGAUUCCUCCAUUAGAACGGCUGGAUAACUUGACCUUGGUGACUUGAUGGACCUGACUGCUUGUGGCAUACGUUGUCAUUGCAAAGAUCAGGACUGAGGGUGUUGGUGCUUAGCAGCGGUGUGGCAGAGGAGAAAUUAUGAACCUGCACCACAGGAGCCGAGAACUGGAGGUGGGCAAACUGGUCCGACUCUACAGCCGGCAGCGGAGGAAGGGGUGCUGCGCGAAACUGGACAGCCGCUGGGUAGGCCACGGUCAAGUGCUGGAGCGACUUGGGGAGGUGAUGUACCACACAGCAACCCCCCCCUCCA